This 582-nucleotide long non-coding RNA is filed under the name Mytilus galloprovincialis (Mediterranean mussel). The record is from RNAcentral. Lineage: Eukaryota; Metazoa; Mollusca; Bivalvia; Mytilida; Mytilidae.
GGGUCUUCAAUAAUAAGGAAAAACAUUUAUCGGUAAUUCGUAUAUUUUUCCUUUGAUCUUAAUUACUGCCUAAUGUUUUCGAGUAUCAACGUACUGGCUGUAUCACUGAAAAUAUUAGGCAAUACAUUGUGUGACGUCAUAAUUACCGAUAAACAGAAUAAUAGGUAGUUUCGUUUUUGAUACUGACUAUAUCAUGUGGAAUAUCUUAACUCGCCCUAACGGGCUCGUCUAGAUAUAGUUAGUAUUAAAAUCAGUAUUAAAAACGAAACAACCUGUUAUCCUAUAUAUAGAUCGCAAAGCAAGCUACAAAAGGUGUCUAAUAUGACAAAAUGUAAAACAAUUCAAACGAGUCAACACUGCUGGCUGGUGUAGAACUAUCAUUUCAGGAGAGUAUCAUAAAGACAACCAAAGCCUAAUCGUGAUAUGUUAGUCAAAGAGAAUAUGACAGUGGACACCACUACUAAUUGGCUGUUAGUCACAGAGAGUAUCAUAAAUGACACAACUUGUUAUAUCACGUUGGACCACAGCCUGUGUCGACAUUACCACUGUGAACUAUGAGUCCUAGAGGGAAUACGAGUCGAC